This is a long non-coding RNA of Pundamilia nyererei, 1003 nucleotides long. RefSeq lists it as uncharacterized. The record is from RefSeq and is a predicted model, not a curated record. NCBI's taxonomy places the organism in Eukaryota, Metazoa, Chordata, Actinopteri, Cichliformes, Cichlidae. The transcript is spliced from 3 exons.
UAACGUAGUUACUGUAACGCGUUACUUAACGCGUUAGUCCCAACACUGCAUAUAAACCCUGCCAUAUGUUAGACCUGGUCAUUUUGCUUAUAAGAAACUUUAUAUAUUGGAAGUUAGCUUUUAAUAAGCAUGUAAUGAUGAUAUAGAUGGUCUUUUUUUAAACACAUAUCUCUUUAGGCCUAAACUGACAGUGCCAAUACCACACAUUCAGACACAGUAGUAGAUGGUGUUUUUAAUACUAUGUUAGUCUAAUUUGGUUGUAUGGGGUCUACAUGGACCCUCUGUGUUGUAAGUUAUUAUGACUGCACAGCCAUUAAGGAUCAAAUCAACUUCUGAAAAAUGUUGUUUUUUCUCCCUCUGCUUGCUUCUUACUGUCUUUGAGGCUCGGGACCAGCACUCCUGCUGUUGGACAGAAAGACAUCAACUUGAGAUAUGACUGCACUAUGCUGUUGCUGGGACUCCAGUUAAUUCUACAAGACGUGCUGUGACACCAGGAGAGAUGAGUCCUCCGUCACAGAUGGUGUGGUCAGUGAAGAUGGUCGCCUGCAGGUUCAAGCUCAUUGCAUCUCCAACCCACAUCCACUGCCACUGUACUGAAGGGAAGUUACAGACCUUCUUCUGCACCUACAUGUGGAUCACCUCGAUCCAUGACAGUCAUUCAGGCAGUAAUGCCUGGACUGGAAACAAGCAUCCUUAAAACAUUACAACAUUCCAGCUCCUGUGUUGGAAUGAAAAACAAAUGUGUUGUUUAAAUCAGAGACUGCACUUGUGACAGAACAACAAAUAUUUUAUUUUGAUUAUAUAAGUAAUGUAAGUACAAAACGAACUUGUGGUAGGCCUAAACUUAUUUUCAGAAUAAUUACAUCUGAGACUUUGUUUCAUUGUAAGAUUAUAACAGUGAUGGCAACAUAACUGUUUGUUGCUCAGCAGAACAGUGUCAAGUAUGUUGGCUGUUAUACUUUGUUGUGUUUGAAAAUAAAAGUUGGGCUGAUUUUAACCUUAA